CAGUAGCCGCGGUAAUACGUAGGGUGCGAGCGUUGUCCGGAAUUACUGGGCGUAAAGAGCUCGUAGGCGGUUUGUCACGUCGUCUGUGAAAUUCUAGGGCUUAACCCUGGACGUGCAGGCGAUACGGGCUGACUUGAGUACUACAGGGGAGACUGGAAUUUCUGGUGUAGCGGUGGAAUGCACAGAUAUCAGGAAGAACACCGAUGGCGAAGGCAGGUCUCUGGGUAGUAACUGACGCUGAGGAGCGAAAGCAUGGGUAGCGAACAGGAUUAGAUACCCCUGUAGUCCCUGUCUCUUAUAC
This 301-nucleotide ribosomal RNA is filed under the name uncultured bacterium. RNAcentral describes it as "partial 16S ribosomal RNA". It matches the Rfam family "Bacterial small subunit ribosomal RNA", at positions 509 to 807 of the family's 1533-position model. The record is from RNAcentral.